This is a small nucleolar RNA of Eupeodes corollae, 136 nucleotides long. RefSeq annotates it as small nucleolar RNA snoR639/H1. The transcript has a single exon. The record is from RefSeq and is a predicted model, not a curated record. NCBI's taxonomy places the organism in Eukaryota, Metazoa, Arthropoda, Insecta, Diptera, Syrphidae.
ACCCCAUGAUAUUAAGCCGGCAGCUUGGAUCAUUUCCUUGUCCAAGGAUGUGACUAUGACUGGGAACAUCAAUUUCUGGUGUGUGUAUGCUGGGUGUGUUCUCUUCGACAUUCCAGCAAAGAAAAACACGGAGACA